Long non-coding RNA from Cavia porcellus (domestic guinea pig), 2115 nucleotides. RefSeq lists it as uncharacterized. The record is from RefSeq and is a predicted model, not a curated record. The transcript has 5 exons. Lineage: Eukaryota; Metazoa; Chordata; Mammalia; Rodentia; Caviidae.
CCGGACCCCUUUCUCGCACUCCCAGAGUCCCUGCCUGGUGUUAAGCCUCGCUGGCCCUGGGUGCUGGCCGUUGGGUCGGGACCUUCUUUCCACACCCUGGCUCCCCUGGUCCCCACUGAUGUCCCCUCACAGCUCCCCAGGUAGCUGCCCAUCCUUGAACCCCACCUCGGUGUCUGCUUCUGGGGAGCCUGAGAUACGACGAGGCCCAGGAGGAGGCUGGGAAACCCCUGGGGACAUGUGGCCAGAGCCUAACAACAGAGGGGUCUCCCGGCCAGGCUGCAAGGACCCGGGGUGGGGGCGGCAGGGGAAGGGACCAGCCACUGUGGGAAGCGUCAACAGGACCAGGAAACAGCGGCACCCUGUCUCCAAAGUAAGUUUUUAAAAGGGGAAUGUAGCUUAGUGUGAAGGCCCUGGUUCAGGGCCCAGUGCCACAACCCAAUGAGUCUUAAAUAACAGCACUAGGGGCCAGGGACACAGCUCAGUGGCAUAAGCACUUGCCUGGCAAACACAAGGUUGUGAGUUUGAUUCCCGGUAGCAAUAAGUAAGCACAUAAAUUAAAUUUAAAAAUACAAUGUUAGGUAGGCAUUAAAGAACAUGUCUUGUAUGAUUCUGUUUGUAUGAAAGAAAAUCCACAGAGCUCAGAUCAGUGUUGUCAGGGGCUGGAAUCGAAAGAGACUAGACAGGCACUGUUUAAUGGGUUUGGGGUUGGUUUUUUUUUUUCAACGAAUAUUAUACCUCAGAUUAAAGAGGAGCAGCCCCAAAGCAGGUGUUAAAUGACAACCUAGUGGCUGCUGUUCAGCUGCAUCCAGCCCUGGGAAGGUGAGUCCUGCCGGCAGGAAUCCUUUGGGAGCUACACCUGGCCAGCCUGUUAGCUGAUCAGGCUCCUUCCUUAAAACGCUCUGCUGCCACCUGCUGGAAACCCGUCCUGAUAACAAGACACACCUACACAUGAAAGGCUGCUACCUUCCGUUUGGCCGACUUGUGCAAUGCACAGCCUGCUCAGCUGUACAUGGUGUGAUGUUAGGUUCUCUUUCUAUGUACCAGGACGAGGACCUCAGCUGAGUUCGCUAGUCCAAAUGUGGUCGAUGGUGGGCUGCGUGAGCACAGUGUGAGAAUCAGCAAUGCGGUCUCAGCUGGCUCUGCCCAGCCCUCCUGCAUCAGAGCCUGGAUGUUUAACAAGGUCCCCAGGUGCAUGGCCAUUAGGUUUACGGGUGCUGCCCUCCAAGUGCGGGCUGCACGUUGGAGUCGGCUGGGGAGGCUGUAAACGUGCCGACCGCGGGGCUCGGUGGGUCUGACAAAGGUGCAGCCGGAAAUGCAGAGUCGGGGGAGCAGCCGUGUCCACAGCAGACUCAUCGGACGCAGCGCACAGGGCUCUCCCUGGACUCUACUUCCCCAAGGUCGCCAGGGACGCUGAACUCUUUCACCGCUUGGAGAAGCCUGACCUCAGAGCUGGCCGUCUUAACAAACAUUACGAAUUUCAAGACAGCAGCAUCGGGACUGUGACCUAAAUCCGCGUCCCUGUGAGCAGAGUGUGAGAGCCCAGGGCUUAGGCGCAGGAAGUUGUGGGCCACCGAGCCCACCCCUGGGGAGUAGGCAGGGAUCCACACACAGACAGCUGCUCCCGAACAAAACCAGCCCCGGGGGCUUUGGGAUCCAGCACAGACCAGAUGGAAGGGGCUGCUUCCCUCUAAGGAGGACUGCACAGCCGCGGGGCCCACUAGAAUGUUCCAGGAGCCACAUUUGGAAUCCUGAAGAGAAACAGGCAGAAGUUAUCUGAGUGAUGGGUUGUGUCGUGGCCUAACCUAGCAACAGGGUCAUCAUUUCAGUGUGUGAGCAGUGUGAGAAGAUAAUGAGCCCUUUCCACCGGUUCCCCACAGCAGCCCUUGGAGAUCAGGGAAUCAAACUCAGGACCUCACACCUGCCAGGCAGGCGCUUAUGCCGCUGAGCUAAAUCCCCAGCCCCAAGUUCUGUAAAGCAAGAGCCAGGCUACUCGGAAGUCACAGCCUUUUACUGGGUGAUGCUGCGGCAGGAGGGUCGCUACAGGUUCAAGGCCAGCCUGGAAUACACAUUGAGACCUCGACUAAAAAACGAACCGAAAGCAAGUGUCUCCCUAUU